CAAUAGCGUAUAUUAAAGUUGUUGCGGUUAAAAAGCUCGUAGUUGGAUUUCUGCCGAGGACGACCGGUCCGCCCUCUGGGUGAGUAUCUGGCUUGGCCUGGGCAUCUUCUUGGAGAACGUAGCUGCACUUGACUGUGUGGUGCGGUAUCCAGGACUUUUACUUUGAGGAAAUUAGAGUGUUUCAAGCAGGCAUGCGCCUUGAAUACAUUAGCAUGGAAUAAUAAGAUAGGACCUCGGUUCUAUUUUGUUGGUUUCUAGAGCUGAGGUAAUGAUUAAUAGGGAUAGUCGGGGGCGUCAGUAUUCAGCUGUCAGAGGUGAAAUUCUUGGAUUUGUUAAAGACGGACUGAUGCGAAAGCAUUCGCCAAGGAUGUUUUUCAUUAAUCAGGGAACGAAAGUUAGGGGAUCGAAGACGAUCAGAU
RNAcentral lists this ribosomal RNA (419 nucleotides) under uncultured eukaryote. RNAcentral's name for it is "SSU rRNA". It matches the Rfam family "Eukaryotic small subunit ribosomal RNA", at positions 592 to 1013 of the family's 1831-position model. The record is from RNAcentral.